RNAcentral lists this ribosomal RNA (1187 nucleotides) under Lactiplantibacillus plantarum subsp. plantarum. Its description in RNAcentral is "bacterial SSU rRNA". It matches the Rfam family "Bacterial small subunit ribosomal RNA", at positions 8 to 1161 of the family's 1533-position model. The record is from RNAcentral. Lineage: Bacteria; Bacillati; Bacillota; Bacilli; Lactobacillales; Lactobacillaceae.
AGAGUUUGAUCCUGGCUCAGGACGAACGCUGGCGGCGUGCCUAAUACAUGCAAGUCGAACGAACUCUGGUAUUGAUUGGUGCUUGCAUCAUGAUUUACAUUUGAGUGAGUGGCGAACUGGUGAGUAACACGUGGGAAACCUGCCCAGAAGCGGGGGAUAACACCUGGAAACAGAUGCUAAUACCGCAUAACAACUUGGACCGCAUGGUCCGAGCUUGAAAGAUGGCUUCGGCUAUCACUUUUGGAUGGUCCCGCGGCGUAUUAUCUAGAUGGUGGGGUAACGGCUCACCAUGGCAAUGAUACGUAGCCGACCUGAGAGGGUAAUCGGCCACAUUGGGACUGAGACACGGCCCAAACUCCUACGGGAGGCAGCAGUAGGGAAUCUUCCACAAUGGACGAAAGUCUGAUGGAGCAACGCCGCGUGAGUGAAGAAGGGUUUCGGCUCGUAAAACUCUGUUGUUAAAGAAGAACAUAUCUGAGAGUAACUGUUCAGGUAUUGACGGUAUUUAACCAGAAAGCCACGGCUAACUACGUGCCAGCAGCCGCGGUAAUACGUAGGUGGCAAGCGUUGUCCGGAUUUAUUGGGCGUAAAGCGAGCGCAGGCGGUUUUUUAAGUCUGAUGUGAAAGCCUUCGGCUCAACCGAAGAAGUGCAUCGGAAACUGGGAAACUUGAGUGCAGAAGAGGACAGUGGAACUCCAUGUGUAGCGGUGAAAUGCGUAGAUAUAUGGAAGAACACCAGUGGCGAAGGCGGCUGUCUGGUCUGUAACUGACGCUGAGGCUCGAAAGUAUGGGUAGCAAACAGGAUUAGAUACCCUGGUAGUCCAUACCGUAAACGAUGAAUGCUAAGUGUUGGAGGGUUUCCACCCUUCAGUGCUGCAGCUAACGCAUUAAGCAUUCCGCCUGGGGAGUACGGCCGCAAGGCUGAAACUCAAAGGAAUUGACGGGGGCCCGCACAAGCGGUGGAGCAUGUGGUUUAAUUCGAAGCUACGCGAAGAACCUUACCAGGUCUUGACAUACUAUGCAAAUCUAAGAGAUUAGACGUUCCCUUCGGGGACAUGGAUACAGGUGGUGCAUGGUUGUCGUCAGCUCGUGUCGUGAGAUGUUGGGUUAAGUCCCGCAACGAGCGCAACCCUUAUUAUCAGUUGCCAGCAUUAAGUUGGGCACUCUGGUGAGACUGCCGGUGACAA